AGAGUUUGAUCCUGGCUCAGAAUGAACGUGGGCGGCGUGGAUUAGGCAUGCAAGUCGAACGAGCCUCUGGGGGGUAACUCCUAGAGGAAAGUGGCGAAAGGGGCAGUAAUGUAUGGGUAACCUACCUUGAGGUCUGGGAUAGCUAUUCUAACGGAUAGGUAAUACCGGACGGCCUGAGUUGUCGGCAUCGAUGAUUUAGUAAAGGUUACGCCUCGAGAGGGGCCCAUAUGAUAUUAGCUAGUUGGUGAGGUAAUGGCUCACCAAGGCAAAGAUGUCUAGCGGGUGUGAGAGCACGACCCGCGUCACUGGCACUGAGACACUGGCCAGACUCCUACGGGAGGCUGCAGUCGAGGAUCUUCGGCAAUGGACGCAAGUCUGACCGAGCAACGCCGCGUGUGCGAUGAAGGCCUUCGGGUUGUAAAGCACUGUCGAGGGGAAACAAGCCGUAAGGUUGAGUGACCCCUGGAGGAAGCACGGGCUAAGUUCGUGCCAGCAGCCGCGGUAAGACGAACCGUGCAAACGUUAUUCGGAAUCACUGGGCUUAAAGGGCGCGUAGGCGGGUAAUCAAGUCAAUGGUGAAAGCCUCCAGCUUAACUGGAGAAGUGCCUUUGAUACUGAUUGUCUAGAGUGAGGUAGGGGCAUGUGGAACUUCCGGUGGAGCGGUGAAAUGCGUAGAUAUCGGAAGGAACGCCAGUGGCGAAAGCGAUGUGCUGGACCUUUUCUGACGCUGAGGCGCGAAAGCUAGGGGAUCAAACGGGAUUAGAUACCCUGGUAGUCC
This 778-nucleotide ribosomal RNA is filed under the name uncultured bacterium. Its description in RNAcentral is "bacterial SSU rRNA". It matches the Rfam family "Bacterial small subunit ribosomal RNA", at positions 8 to 796 of the family's 1533-position model. The record is from RNAcentral.